UACAGAGGGUGCGAGCGUUGUCCGGAAUCACUGGGCGUAAAGGGCGCGUAGGUGGCGCCCCAAGUCCGUGGUGAAAGCUCGAUGCUUAACAUCGAGUCGGCCACGGAGACUGGGGGGCUCGAGCACUGUAGGGGCAGAUGGAAUUCCGGGUGUAGCGGUGGAAUGCGUAGAGAUCCGGAAGAACACCGGUGGCGAAGGCGGUCUGCUGGGCAGUUGCUGACACUGAGGCGCGAAAGCGUGGGGAGCAAACAGG
This 253-nucleotide ribosomal RNA is filed under the name uncultured bacterium. RNAcentral describes it as "partial 16S ribosomal RNA". It matches the Rfam family "Bacterial small subunit ribosomal RNA", at positions 524 to 776 of the family's 1533-position model. The record is from RNAcentral.